Molecule: ribosomal RNA, 478 nt
Filed under: uncultured bacterium
Lineage: Bacteria
Description: bacterial SSU rRNA
Rfam family: Bacterial small subunit ribosomal RNA
Source: RNAcentral
UUCGCAAUGCCCGAAAGGGUGACGAAGCGACGCCGCGUGGGUGAGGAAGGCCCUCGGGUUGUAAAGCCCUGUCAGGAGUUAAGAAAUGUAAGUGCGCUAAUAUCGCAUUUAUUUGACGAAGGCUCCAAAGGAAGUCACGGCUAACUCUGUGCCAGCAGCCGCGGUAAUACAGAGGUGGCAAGCGUUGUUCGGAAUUAUUGGGCGUAAAGAGCACGUAGGUGGAUUUGCAAGUCAGAUGUGAAAGCCUUCUGUUCAACGGAAGAAUUGCAUCUGAAACUGCAGACCCUGAGUAUAGGAGGGGAGAAUGGAACUUCUGGUGGAGCGGUGAAAUGCGUAGAUAUCAGAAGGAACGCCGGCGGCGAAAGCGAUUCUCUGGCCUAUUACUGACACUCAGUGUGCGAAAGCUAGGGGAGCAAACGGGAUUAGAUACCCCGGUAGUCCUAGCCGUAAACGAUGGGCACUAAGUAGAGGGGUUUUA